AAUUUAAUACGUUUUAUUAUCAUAUGCAAUGUUAAUAAACCAACAUUUUAAUAUUUUAAAAAAGUAACAUUAAACGUUAGAAAUAAAACUGAAAUCUUAUAUCGACACUCUAAAUUCCAAAUCCUAACUCUAUACUUGAAAUUAGACUUUAAACAUACACAUGAAACCUUAUACCCUAAACUCUAAAUCAUAAAUUAUGUUUUAAUUUUUUUCUUUUGGAGAAAAGUCACACAUUUUGUUUUAAUCUUUAAAAAAUUUAUCAUAAAAUUUUAAAUCAUUAACUAUUUCACCAAUAUAUAACCAUUAACUGUACAUACACAAAAUUAAUAUAUGUUUAACAAAAAAAAUAAAUUAACUAAAACAUGAUUAAACCAAAUCUUAAAAUAAACUAAAUAACCAUGUUUUAGUUUUGGCAUUAAAUUAAUUUUCCCAUGUUUUGAGAAUAUACUCUAUCUCAUAACCCUACUUGACUCUUCUAUCACUUUGUCUAUUUCACGUGUAGCCUCCAUCUACAUUCUACACAGUUGUUAAAAAAAGAAGCCUCCAUCUACACUUUAUCACGUUUUCUCUCUUCCUCUAGCAAAUCAACAAUCCUCCUGAUUCUUCUUAAUUUUUUUCUUCUAUUUGAUUAUGUAUCUCUCUCAUUUUCUUCUCCCCUAGCCCUCUCUUUCUUUCCCUUUAUUUCUCUGCAAUUUUAAGGAUUCAGAUUGCGAGUCAUUACCCUACUGCCUCUCAACGACUAUACAAAUCCGCAGUGGAGAUGGAGUUAACCAGUCAACAUUUCAGUCAGAUAUAGAUACAGCCGAAGAUGAUGUAGAUGCAGCCAAUGAUGAUUACAGAUUUAUAUCUGGCCAUUACAGUGGUAGAAGCUUUCGUUAGGAGGCCCGAGGAUCUGAAAAUUCAGUGCUAAUGAUGAUGAUGAAUACAAGGACGGCGGAGGUGUAGACAAGGGCCGAAGGAGAAGCUUCUAAUGCCGUCAGGUUGACGUAAUUUGAGGGAGGCAAAGGAGGCUGUGUAGUAGACCAGUGUUUACCCUAAUUUGCUUUCCUUUGAUCUGUAUUAUAAUUGGUUAUCUAAUACUACUAUUUUUUGUAACCAAUUAACCAAUAUAUGAUUUGGGAUAUCAAUAAAAUAUAUUUUAGUUA
Brassica napus (rape) is the source of this 1145-nucleotide long non-coding RNA. RefSeq lists it as uncharacterized. The record is from RefSeq and is a predicted model, not a curated record. NCBI's taxonomy places the organism in Eukaryota, Viridiplantae, Streptophyta, Magnoliopsida, Brassicales, Brassicaceae. The transcript is spliced from 2 exons.